Pseudonaja textilis is the source of this 369-nucleotide non-coding RNA. NCBI's taxonomy places the organism in Eukaryota, Metazoa, Chordata, Lepidosauria, Squamata, Elapidae. The record is from RefSeq and is a predicted model, not a curated record.
CCCCCCGGAAGGUUCCAGAAAAAGGGCGCCUCACCAAGGCCGAAAAGUACAUCUAUGGCUCGCUGGCCACGCUGCUGGUGUGCGUGUGCGCCCUUUUCGGCAUUGUGGUUCUUCUCUGCACUGCUUGCAUCAGUGCCUACCAGUAUGUCAUCCAAACCUUUGUCAGCCUGGCUGUCGGAUCGCUCACUGGGGACGCCCUGCUGCACCUCAUCCCCAAGUUCUUGGGCCUCCAUUCUCACUCGCACAGUGAGGGCGAUGCUCACCUCCACCACGGACCCGAAGCCCAGGACAACCUCUGGAAACUCCUGGCCGUGCUAGGGGGUCUCUACCUCUUCUUCCUCCUGGAGAAACUCUUCACCCUCCUGGGAC